AUAGACACUAGUCUAAAGGGGCGGGCUUAUUUUUGUUCGCUUCAACAGGUCUUCGCAACAUUUAAACCUCCUCAUUUCAUCUGUUUCAUUUCUCUCUCUUCUCUUCACUCUCCUCUCUCCUCUCCUCUCUCCUGGUUCAAAACUCCUCAAACCCGCUAUUUCGUCAACAAAUCGGGCUCCCUCUCGCUCUCCUCACAGUCGUUGGCUUCCAUGGAAGCUUUUCCUCCGCCUUCCAUGGAAGAGUUACAAAGCUAGGGUAUCUCCGCGACCUCUCUCCCUCGACUCUUCAAACUCGUCGAUUUGUCUCCCUCCUCAAGCUAGGGUAUAUCGAUUCGACCGUCAUCUACUUCGUAUUCUCGAGGAAGACGGCGUCGUUCUCCAAAUGAGGUAACUCUUUCAUCUCUCUCCAUCUCUCCUGCAUUCUUCAAUUCUUUUAGGUUUUUGAUUUUUCAUAUUAUUUUUUAUUAACUCUUUUGAUUUAUAAUUUAGGUUUUUGAUUAUUUUUGUUGAUUUUAACGAUUUUUUAUUCUCUAAAGGGAGGUGGCGGUGGUGGAGGUGCGGCUCGGGUUUAGGUAGGUCGUGGGUGGUCGGAUGAGGCGACGCAAGCAAGGUGAUGGCUUGCUGGUGGCUCUGAUCUUGCGGUGGUAAAGAGAUCUUCUUCUUCUUCUUCUUGGAAUUACUCUCAUCAAUUCCAAUUAAUGAUUUACAAUUGUGGUGAAUUUAGGUUUUUUAUUUUAGGUUUUUUGUCUCAAAUUAGUUGCGGUGGUGGUGGUUUGUAAUCUGAAUUCAUUGAUGAGUUUGGAUGCAUGAUUAAUUUGUUCGGAAGAUAGGGAAGAAGACAGUACGGAGUAGAAUAUGUGGGUAUGAGGUUGGGAAAAAAAGCAUAUUGCUCUUCCAUGAUUAGCAAAACAUGUUUUUAGUUGGUAGGAAUUGCUGUUGAUUUCUGAACCUGAACGUUCUUACUUUUUAGUCAGUUUUUCAUUGUAUUCUAAGUAGUCCUAGUAACAAGGAAGAAUUGCGAAAGAGGUUGAGUGUUGCUGAAGAUGAUGAUGAAUAUUUGAGUUGGGAUAUUGAAGAUGAUGAUGAGCCAAUUAAGAAAAGCUAGAGAAGAAGGGUAUGAUACUUAGUAUUGGAUGUCAUGUAAUUGUUUAGUUUCAAAUAUAUUCCUAAGUUUAAUUCUUUUGUGUGGUUUUUAAGGUCAUUGUAUAAAGUAUCAAAAUCUGCUUUGUUCUAAUUGAUUUGAAAUUGAAUACUACGGAGUACAUUACAUUACACAUUACAAGAAGAAACGGCAGUUACAUUGAAUUCAUUACCAAGUUGAUUAUUUCAUUGUUAAUACUUGUCAAGUCUAAAUUGCUAAAAUGUUGAAUUUGAAUGUUACGAGGGUCUAUUUGAGGUUGUUUUGGCAAUCCUUGUUGAUUUACUAGAUGGUUGAUUGGUUUAGUUGUUGUGGAACAAUACAAGUGUAGUUAGAUGAGAUGUAGAAUAGAUUAUAUAAUAUAUAGGGUGGUAAAGGUGAAACAUUUUAAGGUUGUAAAAUUAAGUUAGGAAGUGUAGAGGGAUAUGGAAGGUGCAGCUUAUGAUGCCAAACGAUCAUCAUCAUUGGCUCAUUGCUCAUUGCUCAUUGGCUCAGUGCUCGUGUCUUGGGUUAUUACUUAAUGAUUCAUCUAGCAAUUUAAGCCUACUAACUGCACAACAAGUUGUUGUUAAGGAUCAUGUUUAUGCUAAUAGAAAAUAUGUUAUGGCUGUCUAGUACUCUAGUGGAGAUCAGACUGAACUGAAUAUCUGCAGUCAGUCCCUUGUCCAUAAGCUUAAUAGUUACUACUGCUCUGUCAAGUGUCAACUAUCAAACAUGUUGAUAAAUUAUAAAUCAUAACAAAUCACAGAUGCUAGAAAAGGUAUUUUCUAUUUUUCUAUUAAUUUUAUGUUAGUAUUAAAACUUUUGUUUUGAUUACUGAUUACAAUCUUGUUUCAAUCUUGUUUCUAGCUAGUAGCAAAAUAUACAGAAUACCAUAAUCGUGGCCUGAUUUCAAGCAACUGUCGUAAAGCAAACACAGCAGUACAUUGCAGCAACAGGAGGGCAAGCAGCCAUAAGCUCCAUACAAAGCUCCAUAUUUUAACUCAUCCAGACAUCAAGGUAUGCUAGGCACGCAUGAUAGCCUAUGUUGGGUUGUACGAGAUUGGAGGUGCUAAGAAAGGAGAUCGUGUCUUUGUCUCUGUUGCGUUUGGUGGUGUUGGCCAACUGGUUGGACAACUUGCAAAAUUGAGUGGUUGUUCAUUUACAAGGAAGAGUAAUUUUGGUAAUGGUCAAGGGAAGCGUAGGCAGAAUAAUCGAAUUGUAGAUUCAAAUAUUAUUUUUGUGUGAAUUUAUAUUAUAAAAUUACAUUAAACAAUAUUAUUUCAAUAUUAAUGUGAAUGAAGUAUUUAUUGUUUACAAU
This is a long non-coding RNA of Spinacia oleracea (spinach), 2438 nucleotides long. RefSeq lists it as uncharacterized. Lineage: Eukaryota; Viridiplantae; Streptophyta; Magnoliopsida; Caryophyllales; Amaranthaceae. The record is from RefSeq and is a predicted model, not a curated record. The transcript is spliced from 3 exons.